Triplophysa rosa is the source of this 3827-nucleotide RNA transcript. RefSeq lists it as uncharacterized. The transcript is spliced from 5 exons. Lineage: Eukaryota; Metazoa; Chordata; Actinopteri; Cypriniformes; Nemacheilidae. The record is from RefSeq and is a predicted model, not a curated record.
UUUCGUCCCCCCAGAUGUGCAGUAUUUCUGCCCGCUGUUCCACAUCCAAUCUGAGCAAUGAAACCACUGCUGUGAGAUCAGUUUGGAGGAUUCACGAUGCAGAUAUCACGUUUCUUAAGUGAAGUGAAAGUGACCUAUUUGUCAGCUGUUUCACGUGUCAUUUCUCUUCUUCAUCUUUGGAAUUGGUCAGUUGUGACAUUGCCGCAGCAGAGGGUGAGGGAUCUCUAUAAGGGUUUUGGAGAUUGUUUGCUGAGGGGGAGAGGUGGCCCUAGUGCUACAGCUACAGGUAGUAGUUACAGUGGCGGACCAUAAUGGUUCCUAAAAAGGCGCGGGUGGUGCAGGCAGAGGUUGUGGAACCUGCUAUUGCUAUGGCAGUGGGAGAUGAUGAUGGUGAAUCCAAAGCAGAGCUGGUGAGCGACGCUGAGGAUGUUGCGCUGACUGAGCUGAGGGAUAUGAUACGAUCACAUCUCACACUGCAACAGGAUCGAGAGCGCCGCAUGCAGCAAGAGGCUGUCCGGCAAGAAGCGCGGUGGAAGGCAAUGUAGCAUCAGUUCUCGCUGUUACAACAAGAGGUGCAUGUGAGAACGACACCAGAUCCCAGACUGGGUAGUGGGAUCUAGUAUGGCCCUUCAUCACAGCCAACAGCUCAACAAACAUCAUCCAUCACCCAGGGUGAUCCAAGCAGCAGAGUAAUGGCAUCUCCAGUAGUCUCAUUACAGGGAAGCCAAGGCCAGAGCCAACUGAGAAUUGAGAGAGAGCCAAACCUGCAACGACUUAAUGAGACCGAUGAUGUAGAGCAUUAUUUAGCAACAUUUGGACAAAUAGCUGUGGUGUGUCGGUGGCCAACAACCGACUGGGCAGUUAGGUUAGUGCCCCUCCUGACGGGCAAGGCUAGGGCUGCAUAUGUGCAUAUGGACAUGGUUGACUCGUUGGAAUAUGAAAAGGUCAAGGCAGCUAUUCUUGCCAAGUAGGACAUUAAUUCCGAGAUUUAUCGUCUUCAGUUUCGAUCUACGGAUGUGGAGGAGGAUGAAACCCCAAAGGAGUUGUAUGCCAGACUUAAGGAACAGUUUUCUAAGUGGGUGCAGCCACAGCGUCAUACAAAAGAUGAGAUGGUUGAAGUGAUUAUCUUGGAGCAGUUUUUGCGCAUGCUGGCACCUGAUCUCCAAGUUUGGAUUAAAGAACGAGAUCCUAGUUCUGCUGCUGAAGCUGCAACCUUGGCUGACACCUUUGUGGCAGCUCGACGAAAGACUCAGCCAUGGACAUUUAAAUGGUGGAAGCAGAGCAAAGAUUCCACCAAGCCCCACUAUUCCUCUCCAGCUAUAGUAAGAGCCAAUGGUGAAGACUGAUGCUUCUAAUACUGGCAUAGGGGCAGUCCUGUUACAAGGAGAAGUCGGAAACAGGCAUCCAGUGGCCUAUAUAAGUCGGAAGUUGUAUCCCAGAGAAAUCAAAUAUUCUACAGUUGAGAAAGAAUGUUUGGCUGUUAAAUGGGCCUUGGACAGGUUCAAAUACUACCUUUUGGGAUGAGAGUUUCAGUUAGAAACUGAUCAUCGGCCACUCCAAUGGAUGGACCGUAUGAGAGACUCUAAUGCGCGAAUUACUCUGUGGUACUUGUCCAUGCAGCCUUAUCGGUUUACUAUUCACCAUGUACCAGGGAAGAGUAAUGUUAUGGCGGACUUUCUUUCUCGCCUGCUGGUUUGAGAAGAGGCAGGGGGGAGUGUGAUGGUCACGGAAUGACCACACAUUUAGUUUUGCUUGUUCUUUGGACUUUUGUAUACACCCACACAUUUACACACACAUGCAUACAUUCAUACAGAUACACAUUUGACAAGUUUAAGUUAUGUGUUAUUGUUCUGAAUGAAAUUGAGAAAUUGUCAAAUACCUGUUUUCCUUUUGCAGCACUGUUUGUAAAACAAAGGAAAACAGUGGAGGGAGUUUUGGCUCCAUUUAAAGGACCGUACCAUUGGUAAUUGAGAAUGGGUGUUCAGGGAGAAUGCAGCCGAGUUGCUCCUGUUAUUAAUCCCUUUCAUUGCUUUUGAAUUUGUAUAUCCCUCUGCAUAAGAUAAUGGAGUAUUGCUUGUUUAUUGAAAUGUUUACUUAGAAUUUGAUACUUAUAGGAAAGUUUGUCAAAUGUUUUGUACGUGUAUGUCCCUCCCCACGGGGACAAUGGUGCUGGCCGCCAGUAUAAAUGUGUGUGUCUUUGUUAAGGGUUUUUGGGAUUGUUUGCUGUGGGGUAGAGGUGGCCCUAGUGCUACAGGUAUUUUUCUAGUCUUUCUUUGGGGAAUUUUUGCCAUAUUUUUGUAAAGGCUGUGUUUUGCCUUUCUUGUUUUGGAACCUGAUUUUGAUGUUUUCGUAUUUUCGGAAUAUUCUUUUGUUAUAGUAUAUUUUUCCAUGUACAUUUUCUUUCCAUUUUUGGGGAUGAAGUUUGUCCCUUUUGGCCCGUUUUCAUGAAUGUUGGAUUUUUGGGCUACUUUAAAUUGGGUUUUUAAUAAAUAUUCAAGUCAUGGAACAGAUUUUCUGACUUUUGCCUCUGUUUAAUUUGGCCUUGUAUUUUUGUACCCAUUAUGGGGAAACUGUGACAAACCCAACGUGAUUAUUUUAUUCAUUGGAUUUCAAGAAAGUAAGCAUUCAUAUUUAGCAGAAAUGUCCCAGCAGUAUAUAAAAAUAACAAAGGCCGAAGAUCAAAAUGAAGUGUAACUUGCACACCUUUAAUAAAAACGUAUCAGCAUGUAUCUGUAACUUUAAAUACUUUUAAACGGUUGAAUGCUCAGUGGUCUGAAGGUCAUACAAGUCUAUGGAUGUCCUUAUGACAUGAAUUUGUAAUGAAAAGGUUUGUGUGUAAAAGUUUAAGAGAGCCUGUACACCAGAGUAUAAAAAACUCUUUUUAUUCAGCAAUUCUGAGUUCCUGUGGUUAAGAUUACACAAGCAUGCAGGGUAUGAUUUAUUUUCAGUUUUUUAUGUUUAUUCACAAUGCAAUGUUUGUCUGCUAGACUUUAUUUGUACAUGCAUUAUAGUAACUGUGAUUUAUUCUCAGAAUGGUGUUAUCAUGAUCCUGCCUCUUCUUGUCAUGAUUUUCUAGUCUUGUGGCAGGGUCAUGACAGUCCCACAUGUUUAGUGUGGAGAGGGACAUGUAAUUGUUUGUUUUUGCAUUCCAUGCGCUCUCUCCGGUCUCGUCAUUGGCCCCGCCCCCUCGUUUCCUUAUUUAGCUUCCCGCCUGUCUCUCAUUACCCACACCUACCCAUUGUUAUCUUCCCUUGUUAGUUCCCUUAUUUAAUGCCCUUUUGUUUGCUGUCCUGUGCUGAUUUGUUUUACUUUGUUUGAGCCGUGCUUGAUACAUGUGCUUUGGAACUGUGUAUUUUGCAACGUCAUGCCCUUGUGAGUUUCACCUUGCCUUUUUUGUGGAGGACUGUCCAUUUCAAUAACAUUUCUUAAACUGGAUAAACUCAGUAGCAGUUGCAGGAGUCCACAUCAUCUGCAGAGUCUGCACAAAAAGUGCUACAGAGAUGAGGAAAAUAUGAUUUUGUUGUGCUAUUUUAUUCCUUUUAAUGUAUUGCGAAGUAUUGAUUUCUCUCCACAAAAGGCACAAGGGGCAUCCAUGAAUAAACAUUUUACAGUCUUUAAAGGUUGAAUGUAUGCCAGUUAAAAAGCAAAAAUUUCAAUACAUUGACCAUGACAAUAUAAAGAACACAAAACUAAAACUAGAGAUUUCGUUUUAAAAAGAUUGGAGAUUUAUAAACUAUUUCUAACAUUGUUUACUGACAUAACAUCUCAUAUUGCAGAGCUGACACUGAUACCUGCCUAUUUUCCAUGGAGAUUAAAAAUAAAAUGCA